This is a long non-coding RNA of Tympanuchus pallidicinctus (lesser prairie-chicken), 558 nucleotides long. RefSeq lists it as uncharacterized. The transcript has 3 exons. The record is from RefSeq and is a predicted model, not a curated record. Lineage: Eukaryota; Metazoa; Chordata; Aves; Galliformes; Phasianidae.
CCUAUAUGCACCCUAGUUCUCUGUAUGCAAACUAGAUGGCACUUUGGAUUAAAGCAGGCUGGAAUUUAGUUGUUUGUAUAAUCAAGUAACUUUUGAAUGAAGAGCUUCUUUAUAUCUUUCAUCUUUUGUAAGAAAGAAAACUGGAAAUGGCUGGGAGUGAGGAUUAUUCUUGCAGCUGAGACAGAAGGAUGGGUGCACAAGGUCAUUCGGUCCAUGGACUUGUCCUGCAGAUGCUUACAGUGAGCGAAUGCCGACAUGGCCAGUACCAAUAACUGAAUCUUCUAGAUGGCUUUUGAUGUGAUAAGCUAUAGCUUGUCCAAUUGCAGUAUGCUUGGGAACCAUGGUUUGAAGAAGAACAGCUGCUGGAAGAAAAGCUUGAUGUCUGUGCCAAGGGAGACGUACACCGCACUUGCGCUGCCUGGACGAUGUGGAAACUGGAAAUUGUGGGGUGUGCUGAAGCAUGCCCUCUCAGCUUUCGCUCGUGGAAGCACAGAGCAAAGUGACAAGAAACAGCUGCGAGUUCAAGGAAUUGUCUACCUUGUUCUGAUCUCCUGCCAG